Molecule: non-coding RNA, 101 nt
Organism: Acanthosepion pharaonis
Lineage: Eukaryota; Metazoa; Mollusca; Cephalopoda; Sepiida; Sepiidae
Source: the annotation of a GenBank genome assembly
GCCAUAACACGUUGAAACACUGGUUCUUGUAAGAUGUCCGAACUUAAGCAACGUUGAGCCUGGUCAGUACCUAGAUGGGUGACCGCUUGUGAAGGUUAGGU